GAUGAACGCUGGCGGCGUGCCUAAUACAUGCAAGUCGAGCGAACAGACGAGGAGCUUGCUCCUCUGACGUUAGCGGCGGACGGGUGAGUAACACGUGGAUAACCUACCUAUAAGACUGGGAUAACUUCGGGAAACCGGAGCUAAUACCGGAUAAUAUAUUGAACCGCAUGGUUCAAUAGUGAAAGACGGUUUUGCUGUCACUUAUAGAUGGAUCCGCGCCGCAUUAGCUAGUUGGUAAGGUAACGGCUUACCAAGGCAACGAUGCGUAGCCGACCUGAGAGGGUGGUCGGGCACAACGGAACUUAGGCACGGUCCCAACUCCUACGGGGAGCAACAAGAGGGAAUCUUCCGCAAUGGGGGAAAGCCUGACGGAGCAAAGGCGCGUGGGUGAUGAAGGGCUUCGGAACGUAAAACCCUGUUAUUAGGGAAGAACAAAUGUGUAAGUAACUAUGCACGUCUUGACGGUACCUAAUCAGAAAGCCACGGCUAACUACGUG
This 497-nucleotide ribosomal RNA is filed under the name uncultured bacterium. RNAcentral's name for it is "partial 16S ribosomal RNA". It matches the Rfam family "Bacterial small subunit ribosomal RNA", at positions 28 to 507 of the family's 1533-position model. The record is from RNAcentral.